This 401-nucleotide ribosomal RNA is filed under the name uncultured bacterium. RNAcentral describes it as "bacterial SSU rRNA". It matches the Rfam family "Bacterial small subunit ribosomal RNA", at positions 975 to 1375 of the family's 1533-position model. The record is from RNAcentral.
CAAGUCUUGACAUCCUGUUGAAGAGAGGGUAAUGUCUCUGUCUCUUCGGAGCAAGGGAGACAGGUGGUGCAUGGUUGUCGUCAGCUCGUGUCGUGAGAUGUUGGGUUAAGUCCCGCAACGAGCGCAACCCCUAUCUUUAGUAGCCAGCAAGUAAAGUUGGGCACUCUAGAGAGACUGCCGGGGAUAACCCGGAGGAAGGUGGGGAUGACGUCAAAUCAUCAUGCCCCUUAUGAUUUGGGCUACACACGUGCUACAAUGGCGUAAACAAAGGGAAGCAACCCUGUGAAGGUGAGCAAAUCCCAAAAAUAACGUCCCAGUUCGGAUUGUAGUCUGCAACCCGACUACAUGAAGCUGGAAUCGCUAGUAAUCGCGGAUCAGAAUGCCGCGGUGAAUACGUUCCC